Molecule: ribosomal RNA, 448 nt
Filed under: uncultured bacterium
Lineage: Bacteria
Description: bacterial SSU rRNA
Rfam family: Bacterial small subunit ribosomal RNA
Source: RNAcentral
GACCAGACUCCUACGGGAGGCAGCAGUGGGGAAUAUUGCACAAUGGGGGGAACCCUGAUGCAGCGACGCCGCGUGGGUGAAGGAGUAUUUCGGUAUGUAAAGCCCUAUCAGCAGGGAAGAACAAUGACGGUACCUGACUAAGAAGCACCGGCUAAAUACGUGCCAGCAGCCGCGGUAAUACGUAUGGUGCAAGCGUUAUCCGGAUUUACUGGGUGUAAAGGGAGCGUAGACGGCCAUGCAAGCCAGGGGUGAAAGCCCGGGGCCCAACCCCGGGACUGCCCUUGGAACUGCAUGGCUGGAGUGCGGGAGGGGCAGGCGGAAUUCCUGGUGUAGCGGUGAAAUGCGUAGAUAUCAGGAGGAACACCGGCGGCGAAGGCGGCCUGCUGGACCGCGACUGACGUUGAGGCUCGAAAGCGUGGGGAGCGAACAGGAUUAGAUACCCUGGUAC